GAAAAGAACAUAUGGUACGUUGGAGAUUCGAUGUUUCACACUGCGUAGUGGAACUCUGAUCACUCCAUGUCGACCCCUCCACUGAAAGCUAUCAAAAUUUGGGCGCAUCUGACGGGUGUUCCACUAGACCUUCGUUAUGAUGAGGGCUUGAGUCUGGUAGCUGGACUAGUGGGAGAACCUAAAGAGACGGACGAUUUCACAAAAAAUAUGGUCAGUCUUACCGUGUCGCACGUUAAGGUUGAAGUAGACUUAACAGCUCCAUUACCUCCAGUGGUGGAAUUUGAAAGGGAGAUUGGAGAAGUAGUUGAAGUCUUGGUUCACUACCCAUGGGUGCCGCCAACUUGUUCUCAUUGUCAUGAAUUGGGUCAUAUAGUGAGGAACUGUCUCAGCUACUCCCCUCCUCCUGCUCCUGAAACUGAAAAAAGCAAAGGUUCUGUUAACCCAACUGAGACCCACCCUAAAACCCCACAAAAACCCUUACAAAAAUCUCAAGCCUCCAAAUCUUCUUUUACCCCCGCAAAAACUUCUAGAAAAGCUCAUAAAAGAUACCAACCUGUUUCAAACCCUCUGGCCUUUGAACCUGACCCAACUAUACCAGUGCCUCAAAGCUCUUCAUCCCAUCUCCCUGCUCUUGUCAAAGCCCUUACUGACCCUGAGAUCCCUCAAUCUACCUCUAAUGAUACUGCCAAAGUCACCUUCUCCUCUCC
This 707-nucleotide long non-coding RNA is filed under the name Brassica napus (rape). RNAcentral's name for it is "long non-coding RNA (BNAP_LNC021994)". The record is from RNAcentral. Lineage: Eukaryota; Viridiplantae; Streptophyta; Magnoliopsida; Brassicales; Brassicaceae.